GGAGACCCUGAAGGACCUGGACAAGUGCUAUGAGAAGGUCCGCCGCGACACGGACUGCGCGCAGAAGCCGCGGGUGCCACCCUGCGCCCAGCGGGCCCUGAUCCGCAGCUAGGAGCCGGGCGAUCAGAAGAUCCAGAUCAAGAGCCAGAGGGUGGAGCUGGUGGAGAGCCUCACGCGGCAGGUAGACAGCCACGUGGAGCCGUUCCACCCGCAGCAGGAGCAGGGCGACGCAGCGCGACGGCGGCAAGGUCGGCCCGGACAGGCCCAGGGGCGAGGCGGACGCGCAGGCGGAGAAGUCCAACAGCAAAGCGUUCUCGGCGGCAGCGCAACAACUAGAACCGUGAGAACGCGUCCAGCAACCGCGACCACGACGACGUCACCUCGGGCACGCCCAAGGAGAAGAAAGCCCAGACCUCUAAGAAGAAGCAGAGCUCCAUGGCCAAGGCGUAGCGGCAGGCGUCCCCCGCAGACCUCCCCAUCGACCCCAGCGAGCCCUCCUACUGGGAGAUGAUCCGCUGCGACAACGAAUGCCCCAUCGAGUGGUUCCGCUUCUCGUGUGUGAGUCUCAACCAUAAACCAAAGCGCAAGUGGUACUGUUCCAGAUGCCGGGGAAAGAACGAUGGGCAAAGCCCUUGAGAAGUCCAGAAAAAAAACAGGGCUUAUAACAGGUAGUUUGGGGACAUGCGUCUAAUAGUGAGGAGAACAAAAUAAGCCAGUGUGUUGAUUACAUUGCCACCUUUGCUGAGGUGCAGGAAGUGUAAAAUGUAUAUUUUUAAAGAAUGUUGUUAGAGGCCGGGCGCGGUGGCUCACGCCUGUAAUCCCAGCACUUUGGGAGGCCGAGGCGGUCGGAUCACGAGGUCAGGAGAUCGAGACCAUCCUGGCUAACACGGUGAAACCCCGUCUCUACUAAAAAUUCAAAAAAAAAAUUAGCUGGGCGUGGUGGCGGGCGCCUGUAGUCCCAGCUAUUCGGGAGGCUGAGGCAGGAGAAUGGCAUGAACCUGGGAGGUGGAGCUUGCAGUGAGCCAAGGUCGCGCCACUGCACUCCAGCCUGGGCGACAGAGCGAGACUCCAUCUCAAAAAAAAAAAAAAAAAAAGAAUGUUAGAAAAGGAGCCAUUCCUUUUAUAGGGAUGGGAGUGAUUCUCUUUGCCUUUUGUUUUCGUUGGCAGACAUGUGUAACAACAAAAUGGUCUGUUAUCAACAUUUUAGAAACUACAAAUAUAGGUUUGA
Molecule: long non-coding RNA, 1228 nt
Filed under: Homo sapiens (human)
Lineage: Eukaryota; Metazoa; Chordata; Mammalia; Primates; Hominidae
Description: non-protein coding lnc-CXCR3-13:2
Source: RNAcentral